GUCUACGAUCAUUAGCUGAUGUGAGAGCAUGAUCAGCCACACGGGCACUGAGACACGGGCCCGACUCCUACGGGAGGCAGCAGUAAGGAAUAUUGGUCAAUGGACGAAAGUCUGAACCAGCUAUGCCGCGUGAAGGAUUAAGGUCCUCUGGAUUGUAAACUUCUUUUAUAUGGGACGAAAAAAGGUCUUUCUAGAUCACUUGACGGUACCAUAUGAAUAAGCACCGGCUAACUCCGUGCCAGCAGCCGCGGUAAUACAGAGGGUGCAAGCGUUAUCCGGAUUCACUGGGUUUAAAGGGUGCGUAGGCGGGCAGGUAAGUCAGUGGUGAAAUCCUGGAGCUUAACUCCAGAACUGCCAUUGAUACUAUCUGUCUUGAAUAUUGUGGAGGUAAGCGGAAUAUGUCAUGUAGCGGUGAAAUGCUUAGAUAUGACAUAGAACACCUAUUGCGAAGGCAGCUUACUACGCAUAUAUUGACGCUGAGGCACGAAAGCGUGGGGAUCAAACAGGAUUAGAUACCCUGGUAGUCCACGCCCUAAACGAUGGAUACUCGACAUAUGCGAUACACUGUAUGUGUCUGAGCGAAAGCAUUAAGUAUCC
Molecule: ribosomal RNA, 597 nt
Filed under: uncultured bacterium
Lineage: Bacteria
Description: bacterial SSU rRNA
Rfam family: Bacterial small subunit ribosomal RNA
Source: RNAcentral